UUGACCUCAAAUCAGGUAGGACUACCCGCUGAACUUAAGCAUAUCAAUAAGCGGAGGAAAAGAAACUAACAAGGAUUCCCCUAGUAACUGCGAGUGAAGCGGGAAAAGCUCAAAUUUAAAAUCUGGCGGUCUUUGGCUGUCCGAGUUGUAAUCUAGAGAAGUGUUAUCCGCGCUGGACCGUGUACAAGUCUCCUGGAAUGGAGCGUCAUAGAGGGUGAGAAUCCCGUCUUUGACACGGACUGCCAGGGCUUUGUGAUGCGCUCUCAAAGAGUCGAGUUGUUUGGGAAUGCAGCUCAAAAUGGGUGGUAAAUUCCAUCUAAAGCUAAAUAUUGGCGAGAGACCGAUAGCGAACAAGUACCGUGAGGGAAAGAUGAAAAGAACUUUGGAAAGAGAGUUAAACAGUACGUGAAAUUGCUGAAAGGGAAACGCUUGAAGUCAGUCGCGUUGGCCGGGGAUCAACCUUGCUUUUGCUGGGCGUACUUCCCGGUUAAUGGGUCAGCAUCAAUUUUGACCGUUGGAUAAAGGUCAGGGGAAUGUGGCAUCUUCGGAUGUGUUAUAGCCCUUGGUCGCAUACAACGGUUGGGAUUGAGGAACUCAGCACG
RNAcentral lists this ribosomal RNA (602 nucleotides) under Galerina atkinsoniana. RNAcentral describes it as "eukaryotic LSU rRNA". It matches the Rfam family "Eukaryotic large subunit ribosomal RNA", at positions 1 to 602 of the family's 3401-position model. The record is from RNAcentral. Lineage: Eukaryota; Fungi; Basidiomycota; Agaricomycetes; Agaricales; Galerinaceae.